CCGUAGCUCAGUUGGAUAGAGCAACAGCCUUCUAAGCUGUGGGUCGUGGGUUCGAAUCCCUCCGGGCACGCCA
RNAcentral lists this transfer RNA (73 nucleotides) under Bacillota bacterium. Its description in RNAcentral is "tRNA-Arg". It matches the Rfam family "tRNA". From Rfam's summary of the family: Transfer RNA (tRNA) molecules are approximately 80 nucleotides in length. Their secondary structure includes four short double-helical elements and three loops (D, anti-codon, and T loops). The record is from RNAcentral. Lineage: Bacteria; Bacillati; Bacillota.